GGAGAGUUGUCCGAGUGGUCGAAGGUGCGAAACUCGAAAUUUCGUGUCGGUGAUGAGCCGACCUAGGGUUCAAAUCCCUAACUCUCCGCCA
RNAcentral lists this transfer RNA (91 nucleotides) under Ruminiclostridium sp. RNAcentral describes it as "tRNA-Ser". It matches the Rfam family "tRNA". Rfam says of the family: Transfer RNA (tRNA) molecules are approximately 80 nucleotides in length. Their secondary structure includes four short double-helical elements and three loops (D, anti-codon, and T loops). RNAcentral also lists the same sequence under 1 other name. Lineage: Bacteria; Bacillati; Bacillota; Clostridia; Eubacteriales; Oscillospiraceae. The record is from RNAcentral.